GUGCUUGCUUCAGCAGCACAUAUACUAAAAUUGGAAUGAUGCAGAGAGGAUUAGCGUGGCCCUGAGCAAGGAUGACACACAAAUUCAUGAAGCGUUCCAUAUUUUU
Molecule: small nuclear RNA, 106 nt
Filed under: Sus scrofa (pig)
Lineage: Eukaryota; Metazoa; Chordata; Mammalia; Artiodactyla; Suidae
Source: RNAcentral